This 500-nucleotide ribosomal RNA is filed under the name uncultured cyanobacterium. RNAcentral describes it as "bacterial SSU rRNA". It matches the Rfam family "Bacterial small subunit ribosomal RNA", at positions 356 to 869 of the family's 1533-position model. Lineage: Bacteria; Bacillati; Cyanobacteriota. The record is from RNAcentral.
GGGGAAUUUUCCGCAAUGGGCGAAAGCCUGACGGAGCAAUACCGCGUGCGGGACGAAGGCUUUUGGGUCGUAAACCGCUUUUGUUAGGGAAGAACACAAUGACGGUACCUAACGAAUCAGCAUCGGCUAACUCCGUGCCAGCAGCCGCGGUAAUACGGAGGAUGCAAGCGUUAUCCGGAAUUAUUGGGCGUAAAGCGUCCGCAGGUGGUUUAUCAAGUCUGCUGUUAAAUCGUAGGGCUUAACCCUAUAAAGGCAGUGGAAACUGAGAGACUAGAGUACGGUAGGGGUAGCGGGAAUUCCCAGUGUAGCGGUGAAAUGCGUAGAUAUUGGGAAGAACACCAGCGGCGAAGGCGCGCUACUGGGCCGAAACUGACACUCAUGGACGAAAGCUAGGGGAGCGAAAGGGAUUAGAUACCCCUGUAGUCCUAGCUGUAAACGAUGACAACUAGGUGUUGCGCGUAUCGACCCGUGCAGUGCCGUAGCUAACGCGUUAAGUUGUC